CGACAGGGAGCGGAACCCGAAAGCCUGUCUCAGUUCGGAUUGGAGUCUGCAACCCGACUCCAUGAAGCUGGAUUCGCUAGUAAUCGCGCAUCAGCCACGGCGCGGUGAAUACGUUCCCGGGCCUUGUACACACCGCCCGUCAAGCCAUGGAAGCCGGGGGUGCCUGAAGUGCGCUGCCGCAAGGAGCGCCCUAGGGUAAAACCGGUGACUGGGGCUAAGUCGUAACAAGGUAAC
This 234-nucleotide ribosomal RNA is filed under the name uncultured bacterium. RNAcentral describes it as "partial 16S ribosomal RNA". It matches the Rfam family "Bacterial small subunit ribosomal RNA", at positions 1258 to 1500 of the family's 1533-position model. The record is from RNAcentral.